This 954-nucleotide non-coding RNA is filed under the name Australolacerta australis. RNAcentral describes it as "partial small subunit ribosomal RNA". It matches the Rfam family "Bacterial small subunit ribosomal RNA". Lineage: Eukaryota; Metazoa; Chordata; Lepidosauria; Squamata; Lacertidae. The record is from RNAcentral.
AUAGCUUUGGUCCUAGGCUUAUCGUUAUUUUUUAUUAAGAUUAUACAUGCAAGUCUCUACGCACCAGUGAAAAUGCCCACAACCCCUGAAUAGAUUAACCGGAGCAGGCAUCAGGCACCACCUAUUAGCCCAUGACGCCUUGUCCUACCACACCCUCACGGGUCCACAGCAGUAAUAAACAUUGGACCAUAAGUGAAAACUUGAUCCAACUAUAAUAACCUAGGGCUGGUUAAUUUCGUGCCAGCCACCGCGGUUAAACGAAAGGCCCUAAAUAACGACCAAACGGCGUAAAUUGUGACUAGAUGUUUUUAAUACUAAAAGUAAAAAAUUUAUAGCUUAGUUGUAGAACACUCAAGCCAUAAAGAAAAACAAAAUAUUACUUUUAAUAUUAUACCAUUGACCCCACGAAAGCUUAGAAACAAACUAGGAUUAGAUACCCUACUAUGCUAUGCCCUGAACAUUGAUUAGGCCUUUAUACAAUGCCUUCCGCCAGAGAACUACAAGUGAAAAACUUGAAACUCAAAGGACUUGGCGGUGUCCCAUAUCGACCUAGAGGAGCCUGUCCUAUAAUCGAUAACCCCCGCUCCACCUAACCUCUGCUAGCCAUGCCAGCCUAUAUACCGCCGUCGACAGUCUACACCAUGAGGGUCCAACAGUAGACAAAAUAGUCAUACCACUAACACGUCAGGUCAAGGUGUAGCAAAUGCUGAGGUAGAGAUUGGCUACAUUUUUUAUUCUAAAAAACCACGAAAUGCACCAUGAAACCCCCGCACGAAGGUGAAUUUAGUAGUAAAAUAAAUAAGAGAAUUUGUUUUAACAACGCUCUGGGACGCGCACACACCGCCCGUCACCCUCCUCAACAAUCUAAUUUAUCUUACAUAAACCAAGAUAUUAACCACUAGAGGAGGUAAGUCGUAACAUGGUAAGCGUACCGGAAGGUGCGCUUGGAUUAAC